Helicoverpa zea (corn earworm) is the source of this 367-nucleotide long non-coding RNA. RefSeq lists it as uncharacterized. The transcript is spliced from 3 exons. NCBI's taxonomy places the organism in Eukaryota, Metazoa, Arthropoda, Insecta, Lepidoptera, Noctuidae. The record is from RefSeq and is a predicted model, not a curated record.
UGGCAUCUUCAUAUCAUAUACAUUAUCUUACUUAUAACCAGUUUUAACAGCUUUCAGUUGUUUUUAGUUUAUCUGAGUGAUAAUUGGACUUACCUACUUCUUCACCGUCACCGAACUGCCCUAGUGUCUGAGUUUACUUGGAAUGUUACUAUUCUGCAGUCAGUGGUGUGGUGUGUAACGGGCCUACUUCAGAACUUCGCGUUUCAUAUUUGCCUUCACAAUAUGAAGGCUGUAUGUCAUUGUCGGCUGACAGGCCUGCGCGCGCGCCGCGACACCUCCAUGCAUAAAAUUAUUUUGGCCAGAAAUCAUUAGCACUGCACACUGACCGUUAUACAUAUCUACAUUAAAAAUUACCUAGUUACACGUU